GAACGCUGGCGGCAGGCUUACACAUGCAAGUCGAGCGGUAACAUUUCUAGCUUGCUAGAAGAUGACGAGCGGCGGACGGGUGAGUAACGCGUAGGAAUCUGCCUAGUAGUGGGGGACAACAUGUGGAAACGCAUGCUAAUACCGCAUACGCCCUACGGGGGAAAGGAGGGGAUCUUCGGACCUUUCGCUAUUAGAUGAGCCUGCGUGAGAUUAGCUAGUUGGUGGGGUAAAGGCCUACCAAGGCGACGAUCUCUAGCUGGUCUGAGAGGAUGAUCAGCCACACUGGGACUGAGACACGGCCCAGACUCCUACGGGAGGCAGCAGUGGGGAAUAUUGGACAAUGGGCGCAAGCCUGAUCCAGCCAUGCCGCGUGUGUGAAGAAGGCCUUAGGGUUGUAAAGCACUUUCAGGAGUGAGGAAGGGCGUAUAGUUAAUACCUGUAUGUUUUGACGUUAACUCCAGAAGAAGCACCGGCUAACUCUGUGCCAGCAGCCGCGGUAAUACAGAGGGUGCGAGCGUUAAUCGGAAUUACUGGGCGUAAAGCGCGCGUAGGCGGUUUGUUAAGUCGGAUGUGAAAUCCCAGGGCUCAACCUUGGAAUGGCACCCGAUACUGGCAG
This 616-nucleotide ribosomal RNA is filed under the name uncultured bacterium. RNAcentral describes it as "bacterial SSU rRNA". It matches the Rfam family "Bacterial small subunit ribosomal RNA", at positions 31 to 639 of the family's 1533-position model. The record is from RNAcentral.